RNAcentral lists this long non-coding RNA (612 nucleotides) under Homo sapiens (human). Its description in RNAcentral is "LHRI_LNC1795.1". Lineage: Eukaryota; Metazoa; Chordata; Mammalia; Primates; Hominidae. The record is from RNAcentral.
GUUGUCUGCUCUGCGGCUGACCCUGGGGCCACAGGAUUGAGUCUGGCUUGGUCUUUGCUUUGUGAGCACCAUGGCUCUUGGGGGUGUGGGUGAGCUCAUGUGAGGCGUUUGUGGUGUAUUGGUCAGGGGCAGGAGAGAGGAUGGCCGUGGGUCUCCCAGGACCAGCUGCAGAAACCCUGGUUGACAUAGGGGCCAUCUUGGCCUGCAAGCCAGAGGCAGGUGUGCUGUGGUGCGUGGUCACUUUGCUGCCUUGACAUGUGGUUCUCUCAGUUGAUACAGAAAACACCGGUACGAUUUGGCAUUCAUUCACAAUAACUGGCAUCAAAAGAGACUGUCCUUAAAACAGGUGAAUAGAGUUUACCGUAAACGUGCAGUGUAUUUUAUAUUUCAAAAUGAACUUUUAGAAGCAGUCAGCUCCCCCCUCCCUUUCUGAAUAUUGUGAAAAAUGUCAGAAAAGGAGAGCUUGCAGUCUGAGGAUGACUCAUGAGUCCCCGACCUCUGUACUCAGGGCUCAGCUCCGACACCACUACCUCUUGACUCCCUCCCCUCCCUGCGAUUGCACCAGCAGCCCGUGCUGUCCCCGGCUCUCUUCAGGACCGUGACCUCACCCAG